GACGAACGCUGGCGGCGUGCCUAAUACAUGCAAGUUGAGCGCUGAAGGUUGGUACUUGUACCCACUGGAUGAGCAGCGAACGGGUGAGUAACGCGUGGGGAAUCUGCCUUUGAGCGGGGGACAACAUUUGGAAACGAAUGCUAAUACCGCAUAAAAACUUUAAACACAAGUUUUAAGUUUGAAAGAUGCAAUUGCAUCACUCAAAGAUGAUCCCGCGUUGUAUUAGCUAGUUGGUGAGGUAAAGGCUCACCAAGGCGAUGAUACAUAGCCGACCUGAGAGGGUGAUCGGCCACAUUGGGACUGAGACACGGCCCAAACUCCUACGGGAGGCAGCAGUAGGGAAUCUUCGGCAAUGGACGAAAGUCUGACCGAGCAACGCCGCGUGAGUGAAGAAGGUGUUCGGAUCGUAAAACUCUGUUGGUAGAGAAGAACGUUGGUGAGAGUGGAAAGCUCAUCAAGGGACGGUAACUACCCAGAAAGGGACGGCUAACUACGU
Molecule: ribosomal RNA, 496 nt
Filed under: uncultured bacterium
Lineage: Bacteria
Description: partial 16S ribosomal RNA
Rfam family: Bacterial small subunit ribosomal RNA
Source: RNAcentral